GGUUUGAUUCUGGCUCAGAUUGAACGCUGGCGGGAUGCUUUGCACAUUACAUGCAAGUCGAACGGCAGUAAUUUGGACUUCGACCAGGCGAGGGCGAACGGGUGAGCAAUGUAUCGGAACGUGCCUAGUAGCGGAUAACUACGAAAGGUAGCUAAUAAUGCAUACGCCCUUCGGGGGAAAGCAAAUUUCGGGCCUCGCACUAUUAGAGCGGGCCGAUAUCGGAUUAGCUUAGUUGGUGGGGUAACGGCUCACCAAGGCGAUUGCUGAUCCGUAGCUGGUUUGAGAGGACGACCAGCCACACUGGGACUGAGACACGGCCCAGACUCCUACGGGAGGCAGCAGUGGGGAAUUUUUGGACAAUGGGGGAAACUCGAUCCAGCCAUCCCGCGUGUGCGAUGAAGGCCUUCGGGUUGUAAAGCACUUCGGCAGGAAAGAAACGGCACGGGAUAAUACCCCGUGCAACUGACGGUACCUGCAGAAUAAGCACCGGCUAACUACGCCAGCAGCCGCGGUAAUAAGCAGGCGGCAAGCGUUAAUCUUGAAAUUACUGGCGUAAAAGUGUGCGCAGGCGGUUCGGAAAGAAAGAUGUGAAAUCCCAGAGCUUAACUGGAACUGCAUUUUUAACUACCGAGCUAGAGUGCAACAGAGGGAGGUGGAAUUCCCGCGUAGCAGUGAAAUGCAGAUAUGCGGAGGAACACCGAUGGCGAAGCGGCAGCCUCCUGGGAUAACACUGACGUCAUGCACGAAAGCGGGGAGCAAACAGGAUUAGAUACCUGGUAGUCCACGCCCUAAACGAUGUUAAUCAGCUGGUUGGGGCCUUCGGCCUGGUAGCGCAGCUGAUCAAGGCAGGGUUGACCGCCUGGGGAGUACGGUCGCAAGAUUAAAACCUCGGGGCUAGAAUUGACGGGACCCGCACGCGGUGGAUGACGUGGAUUAAUUCAUGCAACGCGAAAACCUUACCUACCUUGACAUGUGUCUGGAAUCCCGAAGAGAUUUGGGAGUGCUCGCAAGAGAACCGGAACACAGGUGCUGCAUGGCUGUCGUCAGCUCGUGUCGUGAGAUGUUGGGUUAAGUCCCGCAACGAGCGCAACCUUGUCAUUAGUUGCUACGAAAGGGCACUCUAAUGAGACUGCCGGUGACAAACCGAGGAAGGUGGGGAUGACGUCAAGUCCUCAUGGCCUCUUAUGGGUAGGGCUUCACACGUCAUACAAUGGUCGGGACAGAGGUCGCCAACACGCGAGGGGGAGCUAAUCCCAGAAACCCGAUCGUAGUCCGGAUCGCAGUCUGCAACCUCGACUGCGUGAAGUCGGAAUCGCUAGUAACGCGGAUCAGCAUGUCGCGGUGAAUACGUUCCCGGGUCUUGUACACACCGCCCGUCACACCAUGGGAGUGGGUUUUACCAGAAGUAGUAGCCCAACUGUAAGGAGGGCGAUUAAUGGCGGUAGAUUCAUGACUGGGGUGAAGUUGUACAGGU
This 1474-nucleotide ribosomal RNA is filed under the name uncultured Bordetella sp. RNAcentral's name for it is "partial 16S-23S ribosomal RNA intergenic spacer". It matches the Rfam family "Bacterial small subunit ribosomal RNA". Lineage: Bacteria; Pseudomonadati; Pseudomonadota; Betaproteobacteria; Burkholderiales; Alcaligenaceae. The record is from RNAcentral.